RNAcentral lists this long non-coding RNA (215 nucleotides) under Carica papaya (papaya). RNAcentral describes it as "long non-coding RNA (CPAP_LNC000515)". The record is from RNAcentral. Lineage: Eukaryota; Viridiplantae; Streptophyta; Magnoliopsida; Brassicales; Caricaceae.
UCUCCUAAAGCCAACCACAGAGCGUAUUUUCAACCCACCAUACUUUUUACCCAAGGACCUUCCCCUUCCAAUAAAAUUCUUAAAGGUUUCUAACUAGCCAAUCCACCUCUUCUUCCAUAAAAUGAUCGCUGAUCAGAAAUCUCUGCCAUUCUCACUCACUUUAAUGUCAUCAACUCUUCCCCCACAAGCAAUAUGUCCAAAGAGUUUUGUUCCAC